GACGAACGCUGGCGGCGUGCUUAACACAUGCAAGUCGAACGGAAAGGCCCUGCUUUUGUGGGGUGCUCGAGUGGCGAACGGGUGAGUAACACGUGAGUAACCUGCCCUUGACUUUGGGAUAACUUCAGGAAACUGGGGCUAAUACCGGAUAGGAGCUCCUGCUGCAUGGUGGGGGUUGGAAAGUUUCGGCGGUUGGGGAUGGACUCGCGGCUUAUCAGCUUGUUGGUGGGGUAGUGGCUUACCAAGGUUUUGACGGGUAGCCGGCCUGAGAGGGUGACCGGCCACAUUAGGACUGAGAUACGGCCCAGACUCCUACGUGAGGCAGCAGUGGAGAAUAUUGCACAAUGGGCGCAAGCCUGAUGCAGCAACGCCGCGUGCGUGAUAACGGCCUUCGGGUUGUAAACCGCUUUCGCCUUUGACGAAGCGUGAGUGACGGUAAUGAAUAAAGAAGCACCGGCUAACUACGUG
This 468-nucleotide ribosomal RNA is filed under the name uncultured bacterium. RNAcentral describes it as "partial 16S ribosomal RNA". It matches the Rfam family "Bacterial small subunit ribosomal RNA", at positions 28 to 507 of the family's 1533-position model. The record is from RNAcentral.